CGCCAGCCGCGGACGUGGGAGAUGGACCAGUGCUGGUAACUAACAAGAUGCAUCAAAGAGAAUUCAAUUGUGUUACUCUGCUGAUUUUCCUUGCUUAAAUGUUGGAAAACCAAAAGGACCAUCAUAUGUGCCCCUUGAGUUUCACUGCAAAGAUAUACCAAAUCACUGUCAACAUUUCAACAAGCUUCCCUGGUGGAAAAGUCAAGGCUGAAGCCUUAUGAAUGAAUAAGUGUCCUCAGUGAGGUAUGUGUCGAUCUUUAAGAUUGGUUUUGUUGGUAUGACAUGUAUGCUGUUUUUUCAUGCUUAUCCUUGGAUGAUAGAUAGGCUUUGAGAUUCAAUAAUUAUGA
Long non-coding RNA from Zingiber officinale, 347 nucleotides. RefSeq lists it as uncharacterized. The record is from RefSeq and is a predicted model, not a curated record. The transcript is spliced from 3 exons. Lineage: Eukaryota; Viridiplantae; Streptophyta; Magnoliopsida; Zingiberales; Zingiberaceae.